Molecule: ribosomal RNA, 582 nt
Filed under: uncultured bacterium
Lineage: Bacteria
Description: partial 16S ribosomal RNA
Rfam family: Bacterial small subunit ribosomal RNA
Source: RNAcentral
UGGGGAAUUUUGGACAAUGGGCGAAAGCCUGAUCCAGCAAUGCCGCGUGUGUGAAGAAGGCCUUCGGGUUGUAAAGCACUUUUGUCCGGAAAGAAAUCCUUGGCUCUAAUACAGUCGGGGGAUGACGGUACCGGAAGAAUAAGCACCGGCUAACUACGUGCCGGCAGCCGCGGUAAUACGUAGGGUGCAAGCGUUAAUCGGAAUUACUGGGCGUAAAGCGUGCGCAGGCGGUUUGCUAAGACCGAUGUGAAAUCCCCGGGCUCAACCUGGGAACUGCAUUGGUGACUGGCAGGCUAGAGUAUGGCAGAGGGGGGUAGAAUUCCACGUGUAGCAGUGAAAUGCGUAGAGAUGUGGAGGAAUACCGAUGGCGAAGGCAGCCCCCUGGGCCAAUACUGACGCUCAUGCACGAAAGCGUGGGGAGCAAACAGGAUUAGAUACCCUGGUAGUCCACGCCCUAAACGAUGUCAACUAGUUGUUGGGGAUUCAUUUCCUUAGUAACGUAGCUAACGCGUGAAGUUGACCGCCUGGGGAGUACGGUCGCAAGAUUAAAACUCAAAGGAAUUGACGGGGUCAUAGCUGUUU